RNAcentral lists this ribosomal RNA (440 nucleotides) under uncultured bacterium. Its description in RNAcentral is "partial 16S ribosomal RNA". It matches the Rfam family "Bacterial small subunit ribosomal RNA", at positions 338 to 795 of the family's 1533-position model. The record is from RNAcentral.
CCUACGGGUGGCAGCAGUGGGGAAUAUUGCACAAUGGGGGAAACCCUGAUGCAGCGAUGCCGCGUGAGUGAAGAAGGCUUUCGGUAUGUAAAGCUCUAUCAGUCGGGAAGAUAAUGACAGUACCUGACUACUUAGCCCCGGCCAUCUACGUCACAGCAGCCGCGGUAAUACGGCGGGGGCAAGCGUUAUCCGGAUUUACUGGGUGUAACGGGUGCGUAGGUGGCAGGGCAAGUCAGAUGUGAAAGCCCGGGGCUCAACCCGGGUACUGCAUUUGAAACUGGCCAGCUGGAGUGCAGCAGAGGUAAGCGGAAUUCCUAGUGUAGCGGUGAAAUGCGUAGAGAUUAGGAGGAACACCAGUGGCGAAGGCGGCUUACUGGACUGUAACUGACACUGAGGCGCGAAAGCGUGGGGAGCAAACAGGAUUAGAUACCCCUGUAGUC